Molecule: microRNA precursor, 121 nt
Filed under: Gossypium hirsutum (cotton)
Lineage: Eukaryota; Viridiplantae; Streptophyta; Magnoliopsida; Malvales; Malvaceae
Description: MIR7504 microRNA precursor family
Rfam family: MIR7504 microRNA precursor family
Source: Rfam by way of RNAcentral
GAUAGAAGAAUGACAAAUUAGAUUUUUCUUCUUGAUUUUAGACUUUUUCCUCUUAGAAAAAUUUAAAUCCAACUAAAAAUACUAAAAAACAGGAGAAAAAAUGAUUUAUCAUCCUUCUAUU